Molecule: non-coding RNA, 421 nt
Organism: Pelobates cultripes (western spadefoot toad)
Lineage: Eukaryota; Metazoa; Chordata; Amphibia; Anura; Pelobatidae
Source: the annotation of a GenBank genome assembly
CAGGAGAACAUUUCUAAUCUACUUAUAUUCAGGAAAUAUUUAAAAUAAAUAUUCAUUAAUUUGAUGGAUUGGUCCUCUCUGGUUCUAUCAAUACUUAGACCAAGGAACUGGCAUCCCCUGGUCCAAUGACGUUUGGGCUAGGAAGCUUGUAGUCUGCAUAGCCCAACAUUAAUAUUACCUUCCACUGGUCCAGUGAUCACUGGGCUUAGAAGCUUGUGGUCUACCCAGACCAACAUUAUUAUUAUUACCUUCUAAGAGGUCAAAGUGCGGAGGAAGAGGACAGGGUCAAUCUGUUGUCUCAAACACAAGACUUUGUUCAAUUUAACCAUGUGCACAUGGGACAACGAAUGAGUGGAAUUAAAAGCAGAGCUAAUCUUAGGGGUAGGGAACACUGCGGAUUUUAUUUUUAAACCACUUAUCC